UCCCUUGAACUUCUCCCCCUGCUAAUCCAUUAUGAUGUUUAUUUUUUCAAAGACCAAUGUUUAUUAGACACCAACUAUGUAUAAGGUCAUUCCCCCUUUCUCCUCACACCAACAUAGGAAUGGUGAAGUAGGUAUAAUUAUCCUUAUAUUAUAGUUGAAGAAAUGGAGAUGAAGACGCUCUCGAUUUUGCGAAUGGAGUGAAAGAAGGAAGUGGGGGUUGGAAGAGUGACUGAAGAUGAAGCUGGAAAGGUAGAACCUGAUCAUGAAGAGUUUCUGUACCAUGGCCAAGAGUUUGAAUCUGACUCCAAGAGCAAGGGAGCCAGAGGAAGCCUGCAGGCAAAAGUGACAUGAUGGCAUUUAUGUGUUGGAAAGAUAACUGGUGGCAACAAAGACAGUGGAGAAGGUCUGUGA
Long non-coding RNA from Neofelis nebulosa (Clouded leopard), 411 nucleotides. RefSeq lists it as uncharacterized. Lineage: Eukaryota; Metazoa; Chordata; Mammalia; Carnivora; Felidae. The transcript is spliced from 2 exons. The record is from RefSeq and is a predicted model, not a curated record.